UCAUCAGGUAGGAUAAUCCUUACCUGUUCCUUUAUUCAGAGGGCAAAUAGAGCAUCAUGAUUGGAGUUUGCAUGAUUUGAGAUUAACAUAUCUGCAUGUUUAGGGCUCCCAAUACCCUAAUUGCUCUUAUCAGAU
Sorex araneus (European shrew) is the source of this 135-nucleotide small nucleolar RNA. Its record names the gene U8. It matches the Rfam family "U8 small nucleolar RNA". From Rfam's summary of the family: U8 is a member of the C/D class of snoRNA which contain the C (UGAUGA) and D (CUGA) box motifs. U8 is the RNA component of a small complex (the U8 snoRNP) which is required for accumulation of mature large subunit ribosomal RNAs, 5.8S and 28S rRNAs. Lineage: Eukaryota; Metazoa; Chordata; Mammalia; Eulipotyphla; Soricidae. The record is from Ensembl.